GUCCUGCAAAUAUGAGUGACUCAUAGAGCUUGUGUUUUUUCUUUACUGUUUUCCACUCAAAACAAUUGUCAGAAAUUCCUGGUUUCACGAACUGUUUUGCAAAUGACACACUUCUGUUGGUUUGUUUGCAGAUGUUUUCCUUGUUUUGUAAUAGGAGGCAAUUUCUGGGCUAUUGAUUAAUAACUGCAUUGUUAUCUAUACCCUAAAUUUCAGGAUAUUGGCUGUAAUUCUAUACACUGUUUAUUUGGGCUUAGUUCUAGAUAGGACAAAAUGUCCUGGUCAUAACUUCCUUAAUAACUUAAUUAACUGUUAUUUUGCAUUUUAAUGCUUAAAAAAAAACUCCAAGAGGCUGGGGAUGCUAGAAUUUUUUAAGUGCUGACAUUUUAUUUGAAAAACCCUUUUGUUUCACAGAUGGCAUUCCUUGAGCAUUUUCCUCAUUUGUAUAAAUGUGGCAUAAACUGCUCAGGUUCUAUAGUUACCUUCCUUGGCAGUUGUUCUGCUCUUUGGAGGGCCAGGUGGAUCAGCAGCCUUUCCUAGGAGCUCCAGCUUGCACUGUGCUCUCUCUGCACUAAUGCUGCAGCCACAGGAGAUUGUGGAAGGGUGGCAAAUUUUUCUAGGAAGACAUUGCCUGCCAGCUUGAAACAUGUAAAUUGCUGGAAUUUGCAUCAAAAUAUGACAGCUAUUCUCUGAUGAAGCGUGACAUGAAGAAUUCAUAAAGAGCCCUUGACAGAAGUUAUACAGCACCUCCAGAACAGAUACAUGAUCUCAGCGACUCCAGAGCUGAGAAUACAUACAGGAGACAGAUACACUUAUUUUCUUGACUGUACAACCAAAGUUAUGCAAUGAAUAGUAUGAUUUGAGUGCUAAGCAUUAUUCUGAUUUCAUUCUGAUUGCUUUGAGACACAGAUAUUAUCUGAUGUAUAAAAAAUAUUGAUUUGUUGAGUGUCUAGUAAAUGUUAAGAAAGCUUCCAAAAAUGCCAGCAUAACUAUAAGUGUAAUAAACUCUAGACUUUUUAGCCCUUGUACUGCUUUCCCAAAUAGCUUAGGGGAAGUCUAAAGUGUUAAGUCAAGCAGAAAGCUUUAGAAAACCAAAUAUCUAUAUCUAUAUCUAUAUCUAUAUCUAUAUAUAUAUCUAUAUAUAUAUCUCAAGAAGUAAUGAAAUUUUUCAUCCCUGCAUACAGAGGCAACAUUUGACAGUAGGAAAUUCUGGUUUUUAGGGGAAUGUGUAAAUCUGUGUUGGUUAUACAGAUACCAAAUUUGUGGCUUAGCCAUGGAAAGAAUUGCUCUGCAAAGAGACAGCCAGGUGUGUGGCUGUACUCUCAGUCACCUCUGCCCAGUGACCUUUUUCUGGCAGCCUCCUUUUCACUGGCUGCUAAGGGAAAACUAAAAAUUAAUUUUCAGAGGGACUACGGCAAAGACCUGUGGGAGACAACAGUCCCUUCCUCUGCUUCCCGUUCUCAGGGCUCACUUACCAACUUUGAUUAACUGCUGCUGAAACUUGUCCCAGCUACUUUAGCUCAUUUCCCUUUCCCCCCACUUAAAUGUAUGUGUUAAAUCAUCAGCAAGUCUGCAUUCUAUUCUAAGAAUUACUUUCCUGCAGAUUUCCCUAUGGAGAACUUCCAUGUAUCUUGCGGGGAGAAGAAGUGUGUUGAUGUCUGACACAUUACAUUUUCUUCUAUAUUUGCCCUUCAUUCGUGUACAGCAAGAGGCUAAAAAUUGUUGAGGAUAUUUGUUGCUUGUCACUCUUAUUUGUGCAUGAAAAUGCACAUACAGCCUUAUGCAGGGACAUGGAAACUUUGAAUUAUAAAACAGUGAGAAAAGGUUUUAUAUCCUUGUUUAUCCUCUAGGCACUCUGCUCUCACUUCUCUUUUGAAACUGAUGGGAAACAGCUUAUUAAUGGGCUGAUUCAA
Long non-coding RNA from Vidua macroura (Pin-tailed whydah), 1910 nucleotides. RefSeq lists it as uncharacterized. The record is from RefSeq and is a predicted model, not a curated record. Lineage: Eukaryota; Metazoa; Chordata; Aves; Passeriformes; Viduidae. The transcript is spliced from 3 exons.